GGGUCCCUACGGGGCGCAGCAGUAGGGAAUCUUCGGCAAUGGGCGAAAGCCUGACCGAGCAACGCCGCGUGAAUGAAGAAGGCCUUCGGGUUGUAAAAUUCUGUUAUAAGGGAAGAAAGGUGAUAGGAGGAAAUGACUAUCAAUUGACGGUACCUUAUGAGAAAGCCACGGCUAACUACGUGCCAGCAGCCGCGGUAAUACGUAGGGGGCAAGCGUUAUCCGGAAUCACUGGGUGUAAAGGGAGCGUAGACGGCUGAGCAAGCCUGAAGUGAAAGGCGGGGGCCCAACCCCCGGACUGCUUUGGG
RNAcentral lists this ribosomal RNA (305 nucleotides) under uncultured bacterium. RNAcentral describes it as "bacterial SSU rRNA". It matches the Rfam family "Bacterial small subunit ribosomal RNA", at positions 333 to 630 of the family's 1533-position model. The record is from RNAcentral.